RNAcentral lists this ribosomal RNA (253 nucleotides) under uncultured bacterium. RNAcentral's name for it is "partial 16S ribosomal RNA". It matches the Rfam family "Bacterial small subunit ribosomal RNA", at positions 524 to 776 of the family's 1533-position model. The record is from RNAcentral.
UACGGGGGGAGCAAGCGUUGUUCGGAUUUACUGGGCGUAAAGGGCGCGUAGGCGGCUUAACAAGUCACUUGUGAAAUCUCCGGGCUUAACUCGGAACGGCCAAGUGAAACUGUCAAGCUAGAGUGCGGAAGGGGCAAUCGGAAUUCUUGGUGUAGCGGUGAAAUGCGUAGAUAUCAAGAGGAACACCUGAGGUGAAGACGGGUUGCUGGGCCGACACUGACGCUGAUGCGCGAAAGCCAGGGGAGCAAACGGG